This 468-nucleotide ribosomal RNA is filed under the name uncultured bacterium. Its description in RNAcentral is "partial 16S ribosomal RNA". It matches the Rfam family "Bacterial small subunit ribosomal RNA", at positions 28 to 507 of the family's 1533-position model. The record is from RNAcentral.
GACGAACGCUGGCGGCGUGCUUAACACAUGCAAGUCGAACGGAAAGGCCCUGCUUUUGUGGGGUGCUCGAGUGGCGAACGGGUGAGUAACACGUGAGUAACCUGCCCUUGACUUUGGGAUAACUUCAGGAAACUGGGGCUAAUACCGGAUAGGAGCUCCUGCUGCAUGGUGGGGGUUGGAAAGUUUCGGCGGUUGGGGAUGGACUCGCGGCUUAUCAGCUUGUUGGUGGGGUAGUGGCUUACCAAGGCUUUGACGGGUAGCCGGCCUGAGAGGGUGACCGGCCACAUUGGGACUGAGAUGCGGCCCAGACUCCUACGGGAGGCAGCGGUGGGGGAUGUUGCACAGUGGGCGGAAGCCUGAUGCGGCAACGCCGCGUGCGGGAUGACGGGCUUCGGGUUGUAAACCGCUUUCGCCUGUGACGAAGCGUGAGUGACGGUAAUGGGUAAAGAAGCACCGGCUAACUACGUG